GAGGCAGCAGUGGGGAAUCUUAGACAAUGGGGGAAAUCCUGAUCUAGCCAUGCCGCGUGUGUGAUGAAGGCCUUAGGGUCGUAAAGCACUUUCGCCUGGGAAGAUAAUGACGGUACCAGGUAAAGAAACCCCGGCUAACUCCGUGCCAGCAGCCGCGGUAAUACGGAGGGGGUUAGCGUUGUUCGGAAUUACUGGGCGUAAAGCGCGCGUAGGCGGAUCAGUCAGUCAGGGGUGAAAUCCCGGGGCUCAACCCCGGAACUGCCUUUGAUACUGCUGGUCUAGAGGUCGAGAGAGGUGAGUGGAAUUCCGAGUGUAGAGGUGAAAUUCGUAGAUAUUCGGAGGAACACCAGUGGCGAAGGCGGCUCACUGGCUCGAUACUGACGCUGAGGUGCGAAAGUGUGGGGAGCAAACAGGAUUAGAUACCCUGGUAGUCCACACCGUAAACGAUGAAUGCCAGUCGUCGGGUUGCAUGCAAUUCGGUGACGCAGUUAACGCAUUAAGCAUUCCGCCUGGGGAGUACGGUCGCAAGAUUAAAACUCAAAUGAAUUG
RNAcentral lists this ribosomal RNA (549 nucleotides) under uncultured bacterium. RNAcentral describes it as "bacterial SSU rRNA". It matches the Rfam family "Bacterial small subunit ribosomal RNA", at positions 345 to 912 of the family's 1533-position model. The record is from RNAcentral.